Molecule: long non-coding RNA, 886 nt
Organism: Triticum dicoccoides
Lineage: Eukaryota; Viridiplantae; Streptophyta; Magnoliopsida; Poales; Poaceae
Exons: 2
Source: RefSeq, a predicted model, not a curated record
CGAGUCCGCUGAUCCGCGGCCGAUCUCAUUUAAGAGGCAAGAACAUCACAAAUUGAAGAAAUCACAUGGAUGCUUACAGUUAUUGGUAUGGAUUUUCGAUCGAGUGAUCCUGGAUGCCAACGCCCAUAUCCUUUUCUAGUGUGUUCGAGGCUUCCAAUUGUUGAAUCGAUGGAGGCUGGCGCUGCGUUCUUCCAUCGGUUCUUCUUUCUUUGUAGUUCACGAUUGAUCAAUUCUUCGUGAGAUUCGUGUGAGCGCAUAUACAUACAGGAGAAAAACAAUUCAUUGUUAGAUUAUUAAUUGAUGAUUGCAAGAAGACAAGAUCAAUCAAUCAAUCUCCUGAUUAGUUUCUUUCCUUUUUGUACGAGGAACAUCUCGUCUCCGCCGUGAAUCGCGUGGUGGCCGAAACUCUAGUAGCCAACUUCUCCAGACUUGUCCAGUCAUCGUCUGCGGCAAUUGCAGAUCGCCGGAGUGGCCUCCUCUGGCCAUAGAGAGGCCUUGCCGUUUGCCGCCGCUGUCGUCGGCAGUCAUGUGGCGGAUUGAAGCGCCGGAGGGCGCCGCUUCGACGCGCCUACAGAGGAGGGCGUCGUCAACCAUGGGGUGCCUCAGCCGCCUGCAUCGCGCGCUGGUGCUGCGCCGCUGGAGCGCUGUCGAGGCCGAGGGUCCUUGUGUCCUUGGGGCCGGAGGGAGUCGCCGCCACAGCCGUGUAUCAGGCCGAUGGUCAGGGACGGUGGUGCCGUCGAGUUCUUGGCCUAAUUGCUCUCUGGAAGAGGCGUGCGUGAUAACGUGUUUAGAGAGAAACGAGAGAGAGGAGCAAAUGAUGGAACAGUUCUUUCAUUGAUUGAACAUUGGGGUAUUUAUACCCUCGUUACAAGGCGGUUACAAAGGA